UUGGUGUAUUCUCUGAGUGGAGCUUUGAUAUCUGCAGUUAUCCUGAUAGUUGUCCUGGCCUUCUUAUUGUACAAGAUGAACAAAAGAAUCUGCUUCUUAUCUCCAGAGAUACAAGCAAGAUUUUCAGCUCCCUCCACAACAAACAUGGAGGUUAACAGAGGAGCAGAUGACGUCUGUUAUGCUGCUCUGAACGUUAACAUGCCCAACACAUCAAGAAGACAGAGAAACACAGCCAGAGAUGAAUGUGUGUAUUCCAGUGUGAGGCAGUAGAAGUCACCAUGGUUCAUCUUUUACUACGUCACUUUAAACUGAUGUUGGACCAGAU
Molecule: long non-coding RNA, 325 nt
Organism: Cheilinus undulatus (humphead wrasse)
Lineage: Eukaryota; Metazoa; Chordata; Actinopteri; Labriformes; Labridae
Exons: 3
Source: RefSeq, a predicted model, not a curated record